This 458-nucleotide long non-coding RNA is filed under the name Androctonus crassicauda. Lineage: Eukaryota; Metazoa; Arthropoda; Arachnida; Scorpiones; Buthidae. The record is from RNAcentral.
AGGGUUUAAUCUGGUCCGGGAUAGUCACCAUUAACAAAUGUCCUAGAUCCCCGUUUCUUUUUAUAUAUAAGGGUCCACCAUUUUCUUCCCUACAUCCUUUUGGUUGCUAUUCAGUCUAUCCCUCCUUCUCCUUUUUCCGGGGCGUGCCUCCGUGCCAUGGAGGGUUCCCAUGCUGGUUUUUCGUUGACGGGUUCUUCUCUCUUUGACCUUUUUAUUAUCUCCAGUGACUCUGCUGUGGUAGGCUGGGUAUUCUUUCUUGCCGGCUUUACACACUCCACUUUUGCCCAUUCUAUACAUAGAUUCUUGCCAUACGCUUCGCAUGCCAAGGCCGUGGUUGUUUUUGCUUUCAGGAUGUCAGUUUUGUGCUCCUCCAUUCAUGUUCCUAUUGACCUUGACGUGACCCCUAUAUACGCCAAGUCUUGACCCGUGUCCAUAUGCUUCAUGGGUAUUCUAUAUAU